GUGAGUAGUUCUAGAGUUUGUAUCCUGGCUCAGAUGAACGCUGGCGGCGUGCUUAACACAUGCAAGUCGAACGGAGUUCUGAUGUGUGUAGCGAAGUAGCCUGCUACGGAGUGGAACUUUUCAGAACUUAGUGGCGGACGGGUGAGUAACGCGUGGGUAACCUGCCUCAUACAGGGGGAUAACAGUUAGAAAUGACUGCUAACACCGCAUAACAUGGCGAGACCGCAUGACCUUGCCAUCAAAAAUUUAUUGGUAUGAGAUGGGCCCGCGUCUGAUUAGCUAGUUGGUGAGGUAAUGGCUCACCAAGGCGACGAUCAGUAGCCGGCUUGAGAGAGUGACCGGCCACAUUGGGACUGAGACACGGCCCAA
This 369-nucleotide ribosomal RNA is filed under the name uncultured bacterium. RNAcentral's name for it is "bacterial SSU rRNA". It matches the Rfam family "Bacterial small subunit ribosomal RNA", at positions 1 to 334 of the family's 1533-position model. The record is from RNAcentral.